CUUCUUUUUAAUUUUUAUUCAUCUGUUAUUUAGUGUUUUCGGUUCUUAUUUUUUUCUCUAUACAACAAUAACAACAAAGUCUUAUCCCACUAAAUGGGGUCGAUUACAUAGAUCAAAUGAUGUCAUCGACCUCUAUCAUGUAUCAUGUCUAUAAAGAGAUCGUUUAUAUGUAGAUCUCGUUUGACUACUUUAUGAAUGGUCUUCUUAGGUCUUCUUCUGCCUUUCAACAUUUGUCCAUCUUCGAUCUCAUCCACCUUUCUGACUGGGUGCUCUGUCAGUCUUCUUCUCACAUGUCCAAACCACCUGAGACGCGAUUCUACCAUCUUUUUUCGCAAUAAGUGCUACUCCAACGAACUCUCUCUUAUAUCUUCGUUCUUUAUUCUAUCUAAUCGCGUAUGACCACUCAUCAAUCCCAACAUCUUCAUCUCUAUCACACUUAACUUAUGUUCAUGUUCUCUUUUGGCCGCUCAACACUCUAUACCAUAAAACAUAGCCGGUUUGAUAGUAGUGCGAAGAAUUCACCUUUAAGUUUUAAAGACACUUUUUUGUCACAUAUAAAACCAGACGCACUCUGCCAUUUUGACUAAUCUGCUUAAUCCUAUGAUUUACAUCCUAUUCAAUCUCUCCAUUAUCCUGUAUGAUUCAUCCAAUAUACUUAAAACUUUUAACUUUUCGUAGGAUGUUUUCUUCUGCGGCUGAACUUACAUUCUAUAUAUUCCGUCUUGCUACGGCUUAUGCGCAGACCAUACACUUCUAGAGCUUCUCUCUAUAAAUCUAACUUCUAUUUAGGUCUUCCCUUGACUCUCCCAAAAGGAAAAUAUCAUCGACAAAAAAUAUGCACCAUGGCACAGACUCUUGGAUAUGCUCUAUGAGUAUUUUCAAGACUAAUGUGAAAAGGAGAUAGAUACUAU
Non-coding RNA from Arachis ipaensis, 911 nucleotides. Lineage: Eukaryota; Viridiplantae; Streptophyta; Magnoliopsida; Fabales; Fabaceae. The record is from RefSeq and is a predicted model, not a curated record.